GACUGCGGAGGAUCAUUAAUGAUUGACCGUCUGUCGAGCUUGCUCACAGGCACAUCAUAUCCAUAACACCUGUGCACUUGUCGGAUGGCUUAGUGAAGACCGCAAGGUUGGAUCUAUCCAUCUACUUUACAUAACAAUUCUGUAACAAUGUAGUCUUAUUAUAACAUAAUAAAACUUUCAACAACGGAUCUCUUGGCUCUCGCAUCGAUGAAGAACGCAGCGAAAUGCGAUAAGUAAUGUGAAUUGCAGAAUUCAGUGAAUCAUCGAAUCUUUGAACGCACCUUGCGCUCCUUGGUAUUCCGAGGAGCAUGCCUGUUUGAGUGUCAUGAAAACCCUCAACCCUAGAUUGGUUAAUACCUUUCUUUGGUUUGGAUUUGGACGUUUGCCGAUGAUAAGUCGGCUCGUCUUAAAAGUAAUAGCUGGAUCUGUCUCGCGACAUGGUUUGACUUAGCGUAAUAAGUAUUUCGCUAAGGACAUCUUCGGAUGGCCGCGUUGCAGGACUAAAGACCGCUUUCUAAUCCAUUGAUCUUCGGAUUAAUAUUCUUGACAUCUGGCCUCAAAUCAGGUAGGACU
Molecule: ribosomal RNA, 573 nt
Filed under: uncultured Filobasidiales
Lineage: Eukaryota; Fungi; Basidiomycota; Tremellomycetes
Description: eukaryotic LSU rRNA
Rfam family: 5.8S ribosomal RNA (bases 173-326)
Source: RNAcentral